Molecule: transfer RNA, 89 nt
Filed under: Ralstonia solanacearum
Lineage: Bacteria; Pseudomonadati; Pseudomonadota; Betaproteobacteria; Burkholderiales; Burkholderiaceae
Also listed under: 1 other name
Description: tRNA-SeC
Source: RNAcentral
CACCGCGUUGGGCGGGUUCGAUCCCAGGUAUUUCAUGUACCUGGAGGAUGUCGAUAUCUGUCGCCGGGCUGCGGGCCUGGGCGCGGUGA